UAGGUGCAACCCAAGGGGAUUAGGCUCAGAUGAUGUGGCAAUUAUUGGUGACAUGGAAUUGGAUUUCAUGAAUUUUAAAUAAACCAAAAUUAUUGUAUGGCACAUGGACCCAUUGCUUGACACAUGGCGACAUUGUUUGUUAUUUGAAUUUAAAUUCAAACAUUAAGCAAUGUGUUAAAUGAUUUUAAUUACUCAAACCAUCAGCCAAGGUGGCGUCUGAGUUUUUGAAUGGAUUAAAUUCGAAUUUCAAGAGGUGAUUUCGAAAUUAUGAAGUGUUUUACCUUGCCGCAUGGAUUUCAAAUUCCUUCCCUCUUGCACAUGUGUUUAAAAUUUGAAUUUAAAUCAGAUUUGGUUGAGAUCUGAUUUGGGUUGUUCCUAUUCCUUUGCAUGUGCCAACUAAAAGAGGUUUUCUGAAAAUAAAUUUUGAAUUUUGAAUGAAAAUUCGGAGGCCAUUAAAAGGGGUCAAACAUGGGCACCAAAAAC
RNAcentral lists this long non-coding RNA (483 nucleotides) under Phoenix dactylifera (date palm). RNAcentral describes it as "long non-coding RNA (PDAC_LNC013368)". The record is from RNAcentral. Lineage: Eukaryota; Viridiplantae; Streptophyta; Magnoliopsida; Arecales; Arecaceae.